Molecule: long non-coding RNA, 417 nt
Filed under: Pan troglodytes (chimpanzee)
Lineage: Eukaryota; Metazoa; Chordata; Mammalia; Primates; Hominidae
Description: long non-coding RNA NONPTRT003751
Source: RNAcentral
CAGGAGAACCAGGUGCAUCAGCGCAUUGCGGAGCUGAGGAAAGCAGGUCUGUGGUCCCAGAGGCGUCUGCUGAAGCUGCAGGAGGCCCCACGGCCCAAGUCCCACUGGGACUGUCUGCUGGAGGAGAUGCAGUGGAUGGCCACAGACUUUGCCCAGGAGAGGUGGAAGGUGGCCUCUGUGAAGAAGAUGGUCAGAGCUGUGGCCCGGCAGCUGCAGGACAGGACGCGCAGGGAGGCCGGGGCCAGGAGGGAGGAGCCGAGCAGGCUGAAGCAGACGUCACCUGUACUACCAGAGAAAUCGAGCGUCCCUGGUCUAGUACUGCGCAGGUAAAGAUUCCAGCAUCUUUGAAGCAAGUGCUCCACUGGAAAAUAAAAGCGACGUGAGUCUUGUUCUGUCACCCAGGCUUUGGAGUACCAC